AAUCAACGCUGGCGGCGUGCCUAACACAUGCAAGUCGAACGAGAAAGUAGGGGCAACUCCAUGAGUAAAGUGGCAGACGGGUGAGUAACACGUGAACAACCUACCCUUGAGUGUGGGAUAACAUCGCGAAAGCGGUGCUAAUACCGCAUAAUAUCUUUGGAUUGCAUGAUCUGAAGAUCAAAAGCGCAAGUUGCUUGAGGAGGGGUUCGCGGCUGAUUAGCUAGUUGGUGAGGUAACGGCCCACCAAGGCAACGAUCAGUAGCCGGCCUGAGAGGGCGAACGGCCACACUGGAACUGAGACACGGUCCAGACUCCUACGGGAGGCUG
RNAcentral lists this ribosomal RNA (327 nucleotides) under uncultured Acidobacteriota bacterium. RNAcentral describes it as "bacterial SSU rRNA". It matches the Rfam family "Bacterial small subunit ribosomal RNA", at positions 32 to 351 of the family's 1533-position model. Lineage: Bacteria; Pseudomonadati; Acidobacteriota. The record is from RNAcentral.